This 587-nucleotide ribosomal RNA is filed under the name Diplodia sapinea. Its description in RNAcentral is "eukaryotic LSU rRNA". It matches the Rfam family "Eukaryotic large subunit ribosomal RNA", at positions 35 to 637 of the family's 3401-position model. Lineage: Eukaryota; Fungi; Ascomycota; Dothideomycetes; Botryosphaeriales; Botryosphaeriaceae. The record is from RNAcentral.
UAAGCAUAUCAAUAAGCGGAGGAAAAGAAACCAACAGGGAUUGCCUUAGUAACGGCGAGUGAAGCGGCAACAGCUCAAAUUUGAAAGCUGGCCCUUUCAGGGUCCGCGUUGUAAUUUGUAGAGGAUGAUUCGGCGAGGGCUCCCGCCUAAGUCCCCUGGAACGGGGCGUCAUAGAGGGUGAGAAUCCCGUAUGCGGUGGGCUGCCUUAGCCAUGUGAAUCUCCUUCGACGAGUCGAGUUGUUUGGGAAUGCAGCUCUAAAUGGGAGGUAAAUUUCUUCUAAAGCUAAAUACCGGCCAGAGACCGAUAGCGCACAAGUAGAGUGAUCGAAAGAUGAAAAGCACUUUGGAAAGAGAGUUAAAAAGUACGUGAAAUUGUUGAAAGGGAAGCGCUUGCAACCAGACUUGUCCGCAGUUGCUCAGCCGGUCUCCUGACCGGCGUACUCUUCUGCGGCCAGGCCAGCAUCAGUUCGGGCGGUCGGAUAAAGACCUCGGGAAUGUAGCUCCUCUCGGGGAGUGUUAUAGCCCGGGGUGGAAUGCGGCCAGCCUGGACUGAGGAUCUCGCUUCGGCAAGGAUGCUGGCGUAAUGG